GGAAGUUAAGAAACUGUUUUUUAAUUUUUAACUAAAAAAAUGAAGAACCGGUUCUUAAAGUCUUUAUUUAAGAACCGGUUCUUAACUUUUUUAGCUAAAAGUUAAGAAACAGUUUCUUAACUUCC
MicroRNA precursor from Brassica oleracea var. oleracea, 125 nucleotides. It matches the Rfam family "MIR9563 microRNA precursor family". The record is from Rfam. Lineage: Eukaryota; Viridiplantae; Streptophyta; Magnoliopsida; Brassicales; Brassicaceae.